UCGAGAAUCUUCGGCAAUGGACGCAAGUCUGACCGAGCGACGCCGCGUGCGGGAUGAAGGCCUUCGGGUUGUAAACCGCUGUCGGAGGGGAUGAAAUCGUGGUGGGUUCUCCCAUCUCGUUGACAUAUCCUCGAAGGAAGUACGGGCUAAGUUCGUGCCAGCAGCCGCGGUAAGACGAACCGUACGAACGUUAUUCGGAAUCACUGGGCUUAAAGGGUGCGUAGGCGGCGCGGAAAGUAGGGUGUGAAAUCCCUCGGCUCAACCGAGGAAUUGCGCCCUAAACUACCGUGCUCGAGGGAGAUAGAGGUGAGCGGAACUUAGGGUGGAGCGGUGAAAUGCGUUGAUAUCCUAAGGAACACCGGUGGCGAAAGCGGCUCACUGGAUCUCUUCUGACGCUGAGGCACGAAAGCUAGGGUAGCGAACGG
Molecule: ribosomal RNA, 425 nt
Filed under: uncultured bacterium
Lineage: Bacteria
Description: bacterial SSU rRNA
Rfam family: Bacterial small subunit ribosomal RNA
Source: RNAcentral